GUGGUUCGGGACCGCUCGGCUCCGCGGGGUUCGGAGCGCGGGGGGCGGCCGCUCCGCGCUGCCCCGGGGCUGCGGCCGCCGGCGGCGGGGGGCGGUGACGUCACAGAGCCGCUCGCCAGCACAACGUUCCAUUGAGCCGAGCGCGUGCUCGGGCGAGCACAUGGGCAGCGGGGCCCGCGCUGCUCCGCGCCGCUCCGCCCGGCCCCGCGGCCGGCCCGCCGGACCCCUGCCCGGGAAGGGGGGUCGCGGGUAUUCCCUGCAUUGCCUCAGGUAGCAGAAAAACUGCUGACGGCUUUGUGCCCAAGACCAUAGGAGCUUUCUGCAAAGAAAUGAAGCUCUGCUCUUUGAGGGUCCGGUUUCACAUGGACUGGGCAACCCCAGGAGAUAAGGACAAACCUCAUGAUAUUCUGCUCCAUGUGCAAGGUCCCGGCCCUGCACUCCCACCGGUGUGGAGUCAUGUUUGGAGGAGCCUGGCAGCAUGGUCCUUUUGGUAGCUCCCAAGGAUUUUCAGGAUCAUGGGGUGGACUCCCAGAGCCCUCUGGAGAACAUCAGCUGCAGACAAAAGCAUCUGGAAGUUCCUGCUGCCUUUUUACCCUGUUUUUUCCUGGGUCAUCUUGUGUCAUUUGGGAAGGAAGCCUCCCUGUCCUGAGGAUUAUAGCAAACCAGUUGCCAUCCUUACUGGAAUACAUCUUCUUGCAUUUUCUCAAGAUGGAGCCACCACUUUACCUGGCAGGAUGAUAUUUUAUUUCUUCUUCCAGAGCUCUUCCAGUGCUGCAGCACUCAUGUCCAGCAGGUCUCGUUUGACUGCAAAAAGGAGAGAGGAGGAGCGUAUGGAAGGGAGGUCAGAUGCUGCCAGGGUUUCCUGGAAAAUGAGGGCUGAUGGGAGGAUUCUAGACUGCUGAUGUGCUUGAGGGUCUCAGAAGGGCUGGAGAUUAUCUUGGAUGUGUUGACGUCUGUGCAUCACACAGACCUUGUUUCUGGUUGUAUGUGGGCUUCUCAGCAAGAGACUUUGCUCUUCUAGAUUGAGAGACCUCUGCUGCAAUUACGUGCUACUGAACCAGUUCUCCCCCGGUCUCCUUUUACAGUUGCUGGAGGGAAAUGGGUGUUUUUAUGAAGCGCCUGACCCUGACCUGCUGUAGGCACCUGCAUGUGUUGAAUCAUUCCCUACAAUGCCUGCUGCUCCUCACUGUCAGUGGAGCUGGGAUGGCUCAUUUGGAUGCAGGGUCUGCAAUGCCUGUCUGCACCCUCCAUAGGAGGACUGGAGUUCAGGGUUCUUACUGGUGGCUUGGGUUGUGCAAACCCACUGGAUGAAAGCUUGGGCCUCUCCUAAGCUGCCCUUACAUUUUCUUCAAGGUUUGGACACAGCCUAAAUCUGUGAGCCACUUGUCUGAGCCUGCUCUCAGCAUUUAUACACCCUGGCUGGCAGCAUAAGUACGUUCCUGAAGGACAGAGUAUCAUCAUCGAGACAAUUUCAGUCCAACUGGGUCAUCUCAUGCUGUGCUGUAGCAGUCCCAGUAGGGACCAGCAAGAUCACUCCAGCCCCAGGAGGUGCUGCACUGAGACUUGAUGAGGCUUCUGGCGCUGCCCACGAACCUCUUGGGAACCAGCCCUGGAACUGCUCCAUCCUCUGGAUUUUUGAGUAACGUGGCUUGUGGCUUCUCAACCGUGAAAAGGUUUGGAGUGAUUCUUGCCCUGCCUCUCUGGGAGCCUGACACCUGUAGCAGGAGCAUCCAUGUCCCAGUAACUCAGCUGUGGUAGAGCUGCUGGUGGGUGCGGUAAUGUGAGGAGCUGAGACCUGCUGUCAGGGCUCUGUUGAUGAGCAUCUCGAUGGAGAGCUUUUGUGCACUUCGCUGCAUCUCCUGUGGGGGGGAAAUUCCCUCCAGAUAUCUAUCUGCCUUUGCUGGGCUGCAUCCUCUGCUUCACCUUUUCACCACAAGCUUUUUUUGGGGGCGAGAACAGGAAUGUUGUUUUCUGCGUCUGUUUGCAGAGCGCUCAGCAUGUGCUGGCUCGUCCGUAUUGCGGUGUGGAUAAAUACUGAGUAGAAAAUACUAAAACUUAGGUAUACAAGCUGUUGUACCUAAGCAGCUGCAACUGUAGAAGAUAUUUUUAUACACUUCUGUUUUUGCUGGUGCCCUCCAAUAUGCUGUCAGAGGUGGAGCCCAUUGCCCUGUGUUAGGAAAGAGGGAUUGAUGUUGAAGAUGCAUCCUCAAGAUUGUCACCUUAAAUCAAGGAACAAAUAUAAUUUGCUGCAGUACAUCACUCUUGUUUAAUUUUCAUUGGGCAAACAGAAUGUGUGUGUGUGUCUUAUAUACAGAGUUUCUUCUGCAAUGUACUGUAAGCUUUUCUGUGUUACUAGUCUUUGGAGUGUUUUCACUGCAGCCCUGGAGAGAGGAAAUGCUCCCUUUUAUAGUGAGGGAAACACUGUCACAUGAAGUUGUGUGGUCACUGCCCUUUGCAUGAGCCCUAGUUGUGUCCCAGUGGAGGACACAUACAUCUUCUACCUUCCUUCUGUCUACUUUGGAGACCAGAAGAUGUUGCAGGGACUCAUGGUGCCCUUGUGUUCGAUGCUUCUGCUGCUGCCCUCUCUGCUCUUAGGUCGUGCCUUGAUUCUCUAUGCAGAGAACAGGGAUAAACUGAGUCUUUGGAGUUGUGGUGAUGAUCUUGUUAAGGACAAGCAGUGUAAUGGAGGAUCCUGUUGCUGUGUCUAAGCAGGGGUGGUGCUUUCUGCAGUAUCAGUGGUUGUCAGCGAAGAGCCUCAUUUCUACUUGGCUGCUGGCUGUCUGGCUUUUCUGCAAUAAAGUUCACUCCAGCUGGCUUCCUUUCUGCAUCCCUCCCUUUCUGGAAGGAUCUUUGUGCCAGGCUGACACCUCAGACAUCAGCGAGAGUGUUUGGUACUCAGAGAUGUGGAGCCACAGAGCCUGUGACCUGGCGCUGGGCUCUCUGCUCUCCUUGGGUUUGGUUUGCUGGGAUGCUUUGGGAUUCUGGGACGUGUUAAGCAGGAGAAUGUGUUCAUCUCCAUAUUGAUCAAGAUAAAAUGACCAGCCUGCCUGAAGCGAGGAGGGCUUUGCAAGUCUCAGUGAAACCAGCUAAAUAUUCAGAAAGAGUGUGAAUUGGGGGUGGGUGGAGAAGGUGUUUUAUUUGCGUCCCAGCAGCUAAAAGCAGGUGUUCAGUCAACUGGGAGUUGCCCUAAAGGCAGAGAAUAAGGAUGCAAAUGACCUGUGAAACAUAAAAGGAACCAUCUGAAUGCCCCUUUCUGCCACUAACAAAGUUUACCUCCACCCUGGGUAAUUUGCAUGACUCAAGUUGAUCAGCCCUGAGAAAAGGCGGACGGGUCCAACAUGAGGAGGUGACUUUGUCAAGCCUGAGGAUCUUGCAGGGAGGCAAAAACGGGGCAAAGCCCCGAGGCCAGGCCAGGAGAUAUGUUCGCUGAUGAAACAUGGAAAGGUGGGCUGGGUCGUAGGGUGAGCAGGGUACUGAGGCACGGGCAGCAUUUUUGGCAGUGAGUAUUGGCUAAGGGUGACCAGCUGGCACUUGUGAUAUCCCUGCAAUGAAGCUUCCUCUGGGUUUCGCUGUGGUUCAGCUAAAUCAGCGCUGAUCACUGAUACAGGAUGGUGUAUAACAGCUUAAAACCUUCUUUGAUCAAUGCCAUCUGAGGAGUGCUGGGUGAGCAGAGCUUGUUGAGCUGCUGCCCAUUAGACUGUUGCGAGUGUGACAUUAGACUGGUUAGUUUAAACCUGCCUGGAAGGGCUUUUAGGCUGUGCUUUGCCUCAUGUUUGAUGCGGUAGCAGUACAGGAAUCCAGCCAGUUGCUGCAGCUCAAGGGAUGACUGGUUAAGCGGUGGCAUCCCUUAGAUCACAACUGCUGUGGAUUUAGGACCCGUCUUGCCCAGCGUGGCGAUGCUGAGUGCACUGGGGAGCUGUCCCGAGCUGUUGCUCUUCGGGCCCUGCCCCAGUUCUGCUGGGAUUAAUUUUACACCCAGCCUGGGCUUAGCAUCCAGUGGGGGUUUUUGAUGAAGCCUUUUUUUUUUGCUGUGAUUUGGACCUGCACAUGUGUCCCAUCAGGCAUUGUCAGCUCAGCCAGGGUCACAGAUGGUCAGUCCACCCCAUCUCUCGCCUGUGUUAUCCUGCAGUGUGACAGGUCCCACUUCAGUUCAUUGAUAGUUUCACUAAUUUUCCUGAUUUUAAUGAGCGCUCCCACAGCCUCCCCUCCGCCAAAGCCGAGACACUGAUUAUUUCACCAUGAGCAUCUAAUGCUUAUCCGUUUCCUAGGCUGCUCCUCCCACUUUCUGAUUUCACUUAUUAUGUGCAGGAUGUGAUGAUAAAAAUCUGUUUGAGCUGUCUCCUCUUUCAGGGAUUUUUACUUCUUUAAAGCAGCUGUGUGGAGUGAUUAGUGUGUGCGUGGCUGCGGGGAUGGGGAGGGAGCCCCAUGCUCUCUGCAGGUUCCAUCCUCAUCAUGUUAGCACCCAGGCGUUUCAUCCAAGGUUUGGAGACGUUACAUCCUCCCAGAGCCAUUGAAAUAAAUCUGGAAAAAAUAAAUGGUGAUGUUGCUCAGGCCCGUCUUCCCUCAGCUCAUGGCAUUCUCCUCUUCCAAGAUUCAGUUGCUCCUCAUCAGCAGCUCCCAGCAUCAUCUGGGCCAGCCAGCGACUUGCCAUGGCCAGUGUUUACAUGUGUCCAUGCCUAGAGAGAGCUCGGCAUUGGUACAAACUUGUACAGUUGCCUUUCUGAAUCACAUUGUCUGUACGGCCAUGUGGGUCUUGUGUGUUCGUGGGGGGUGUGCAGUAGCAAACUGAAUAUAUUUAGUUGAAGCAGAUGUUUUCUGGCUUUUUUUUUCAGGUUUUGCAUCAAUGGGUUGUUCAGUUCUGCUGUUUCCUAUUUAAGUUAACGGCGUCUAUGGAUGGUUAAAUUACACGCAAGUAAAAAGCUUAUCUCAGAGGUGGUUUGUGUCAUCUCUGUUUUUCUUCAGUGUCUCCUCAACUCCCCACACCUUUGCCUUCCUCCCCAUGCACAGAGCUGCCCUGGCCUUGUUGUCUCCCUGGGGUGUGCACUGUGUUUCCUGGGCACCUUGGUGAUUUAACAAGGGGAGUUGAGGAAGACCAUCCAGACAUGGUCUGCAGUGGAGACCUGGGGGAGAGGCAGGGAAGUCCCAGGGGAGCAGCCUGGCCAUCAACAUCUCCUACAACAUAGCAGGACCCAAGGGAAAACCGCCGAUGUGGUGUCUGGGAGGGACCAGGUGAGGUCUCUGGUGCCACCAGUGUCAGGAGAAGGCACCCUCCAGGGGUGGAGAUGUCCCCAUCUCUCCAGGCUGACAACUUUCCACACUGUGCCACCUUGCUCAUAGGAAAGCUUUCCCCAGUGUUCUACACGAUCCUCCCAGGCCACAACUUGUGGAUGUGGCCCUUUGUUAUAUAGCCUGCGGUCUUGGCUGUGAUGGGGCGGGUGUUCAGGGGUUUGGAAGGAGGCAGGGAUAGGUCUCUGGGUCACUUGUAGACCACAAGUGAUGGCACAGGUGGGCAGCGGAUGCAUCUGCAGCAUGUCCUGGAGAGACAUCUCCUUUGAGAGAUGUUGUCCUUGUGUGGAUGUUUUUCCUUAAUAAAUUUGACCCCUUUGCAGAAAACCAUGUUCAUUUUCUGAAUUAGGAAGUUGUAUAUUGAAAACCAGUAUGGAGUAAAAGGGGCCAAGAAUGAUUAAUUAAACCUGGGGCGUAUUUUUCUAACCCCUAAGUGCUCUGGGGGUAAUGUAUAUUAAUGAUAGUCCUGAGUCAUAACUGCCUGCUGUAUUGCAACCUGCAGCCAGAUCACUAUUGGCUUGGAGAAGGUGGCACAAUGGCUGGAGCCAAGAAGCUUGACGGUCCACAUUGAUGGGGCUGGGGGGUGCAUGGUGCCAAUGCACCUUCAUGGAAUGGGCGACUAAAAAUAGGGCAGUGAAACACAUGAGCCAAACUGCUGAAUGGCUGCGUGUGUUAGGCUUGAAUUUUUUCUUUCUUUUGUUCAAGCUUGUUUGCCUGAAUUUGUCAAUGGGAUUCCCAAAACAAGAGUAUGUGAGAGAUCUUUAACAGCAGUAGAUGGAGCAAAGAGUCACUUUUGUGAGAGGGGUUUAUUGCUCCAAGCAGACAUGCUGGGAGCUGCUGACUUGGAAUGAGAUGGGUGGUGGUUUUCCAUCUUGUCAUUCCUUGUGGUCAUGGCAGAGAGCUGAUGAUCCUGCAGAUUGGCCGUGUGUGGUGACAUGCCAGCAAUACCUCUUUACUGGGUUGCAUCCUUCCAUGAGAAGGCAUCAGAGAUACAUUGUGAUGAGGAUUAACUCAGUAGGCCUUACCUUAUAGAUAAUGCUUUACAAAUUAUCUUUUCAUGGGAGUAUUUUCUAUGCGGGCAUAGUCUCAAAGAGCAGAAAAUUGAUGGUUCUGGCUGUUUUAUGUUACUCACUCUCAAAUGCAUUGGUAUUUUGGAUAAACAGCAGAAACUGGAACCUUUUGCCUGUGGGGAUGCCCCUAGUGUGGGCCAGGCUGCUGGACAGGUGAGCAGAACCGGGUGGGAAUGGGGCAGAAUGGGUGUUCCUCACAUCAGACCGCCGUGAAGUCACGUACCAUGUAGGUUAUCCGGGGAGAGAUGUUUGGGGGGAGGGGGGGAAGUUGGUUGUUGUGCCAAAUUGAAUUUUCAUAUUUCUGUAACAAUUAAGCUAAUAAAAUUUAAAAAUUUUGAUGCUUUGGGCAUUUAAUUUCUGUGUGUUUUCUGAGAGCACAAAUGAAGGCUUUUAAAGCAGUUUCAUUUCUGAGAGGUUGAAGAGCCCAAUCUUGAACGUGGAACAUCCCAGUACUAGCGUCAGCAUAUACUGGUGUGUGACCUUGGUCGGGUCACACAGCUGGACCGAGAGUGUCCGAAAGUGUGACUUGGCAGUCAGCGUGCUGGCCCUCUUGGAGAUGUAUUGGCAUGACUGUGCCAGUUGGAGCUCCUCUUUGGUGGACAUCACUGUUCCUGAAUGGUUGUGGGUAGCAGUCAGGUGAGAUUAGGUGAGAAGUCUAAAAAAACCCUGAUUUUUAACUUAAGCUCCACUUACAUUCAGUGGAAAGAGGGGGAAUAAAUGUUGCUUUGAAGCAGCCUGUUCCUCCAUGAACCAUGGAGAGUUUCCAGACACUUGGAUGCUUAAUUUAUAGACAGCUGAGAUUAGGGAAAGAGCAGUCCCACAUUUUAAUUUAUUGAUAUCUCUGUUGCUUGUAUGUAAAAUGAUGUAAUAUUAAGUCCUUGUUUCCCUGAAACAGAGGAUAAAUAUAAAAUUUGGAGCUGGUGCCUGGCUACAGCAGCCUUUGAAAUAACAGGCUUAUCUUGGCCAUGGGCAGUGUCUUUGACUGUUCCAGCAUACCAAGGGUUAACGAACAUCCUUGGUUUUCUCCCGAUGAACUGAUGGGUUAAAGCCUACAUUUAUACAGUCCUAAAAUUACCUUUGGCUUUUUGAAGGCAACUGCGAGGCUGAUGUGGCCCCCUGGUGAAAAUGAGUUUGGCACCCCUGGGUUAAAGCUUUGAAAGAGAUUUUACUGCUACAUGACCAUCACAAACCUUUUUAUUUAGGAUGGUCCUUUCAUGAAACUUCAAAUAGCACCUACGUCAGACUGAAAUCAAAAUCUUCAGGAGAGAUUAGGACAGUUUUGCUUGAAGUUUCUCUUGUGGUCACUCGCAGGGAAAAAAAGAAGAGGUAAGAUAUCCAAAGUCAGCAGCACCUCACUUGGAGCUGCCAGUAGAGCUUCUCUGGGGGAGACGGAUUGAGUUACCCCAUGCCUGUAAUUCAUCCCUCUUGGCCACACCCAAAUUAUCCAGCAAAAUGGAUGGGAAAUUUAGGAAAACUUUUUGCUGAGCUGGGCAGACGAUGCUCAGACCCGCAUUGAUGUCUUGGGCACAGAUUUCUCUUUAGAAAGGGAUUUUACCCAAGGUUUUGCCAUAAAAAUCCUGAUAUCCAUGAAGUGAGGGGCAGCAUGUGCCUCUUCAGAUGGACCGUGCUUGCCCUGCUCUUGGAGGUAGGUCUUAAUUUUUGGGUGCAGGGAUUCUGAUUAUGUUUUGCACUUAUUAUUGCUCGUUAUAAAUACCACCUUUAUCUGAAUUCGAUUAAUUAUUGUUAAAUAUUAUAGUGGGCUUUAUUACAGAUUAAUACUACUUUGUAUUUAUUAGUCUUACCUUUCUAGGGAAGUUGUUAAAUGCUUCCCAGCCCUGGGAUGCUUGUGUGCCCCCAUUGAUGCCCUUGAGCACGUUAUCCAAUUGUGAUGGAACUCCCCUAACCCAUUUUCAUUCAUUUUUAAGCCUCGUUUUGCACUGUAAAUUGAUAUUUUUUAUGAAGUCAUUGAGCUAACUACAGUAUUAUUCUAUUCUAAUUUAUAUGCAUUUGACAUUAUUUGCAUUUUUGCCUUAUCUGGGUUAAGUCUCACGGAUGGCAUCCUGGCAGUCCCUGCCGACACGGCUUUUUAUCUAGUUAUUGUUGGAUUAGCCUUCAAGAAAUGGAUUUUGAAAAGUUAUUUCUAAGGUUCUGCUGAUUUUUGCCAUGUCAGGGAUGCACAAUUUUAAGCAGAUUGCAUUUAGCAGCAGGCUGGCUUAAGCAGCACCCUCAGUAAAGCCAAGGAAAUAAUUUGCUGGAGCUCCUUAACUCAUGCAAUCCUUGUUUUUCAUGGGAUUUCUCCCAUGGAUCUUCUGGCUGAUUUUUCUCUCAUGAGAUCUCACUUGAUCAUCGUCUGUUGUGGUAUGUGCGGCUCCAAGCCAAGAAUAUCUACUAUUUUUGAAAUGUGAUCAUUACUGUUCAAAAUAGGCUUUUUUUCCAUGAUCUUACAAGAUUUCUCCGCUUCUCUAAUAAGCUAAUUUUAUCCCUGCUUUGGCAUCCAUACUCCUUGGUGUUAUUUUGGUGUAUCUUUAUAUAUAGCUCUGUGCAUGUACAUGUUACAAUAUGUGAUUUAUAUACAGCCUUGUCUUGCUGUCACAGGGAAAUCAUUCUCACUUUUGUGGUGGGAUCUUGGGUGGGAUGUGUCAGAACCAACCAGUCCAUUGCCAGACCUCUCUGUGACCCAUCCCAGUUCGCUUUCCUUCAUCCCCAAUUACCAUCGCUCCACCUGGGCGAGAGAAGACACAGACACGAACCAUUUCAUUUGGUUCAUUUCAUUCAUCCAGCACCAUUUCAUUUGCCUGUAAGUUAGGGGUCCAUGGGCUUUGCAGCUGCCAGGUGGGAGCCCCGAAACCUCCAAGUUGCAGUUACUCAUUGUGUGCAGAUAGGCAUGGGUCCACACACAUGGUCAAAGAAAAUAUGAGGAAAAUUGCUUUAAAAACAGGAAUAAAACUGCCUUGAAAGGGGAGGGGAGAUGUGCUGGACGGUGACCAUGGUGUCACGGGCAUGGAUGAAGGCUGGAGACAGCAGCUGCAGCAGAGGUCGAAUGCACGGUGGUGGUGGGUGGAGGAGAAGAUCAGUAGGAGGAGCUCUGCACUGGAUGGCAAACUUGAAAGGAAAAUUCUGAUUUCAAUAUGGAGAUCAUUAAUUGCUCAAGCUGGUUCCCCUGUUGUUUCUUACACACCUGUCUUUGCUAAUUUGCUUGCUUUGCUUUCCUAGUGUGCCCGUUAGGGUCAUGUACACAGACUUAGUAGCUGGGUAAAAGGACUCCCAACAAUGCCAGUGUGCUUUUGGGGGAGAAAAGGAGCCAAAGUUAACCAUGGGGUCAUGUCAUAAAGGAGAACUGGAGCCUCGUGGUCAACUCUGACCUGAAGGAACCCUUGGAGCAAGAUGCCCACUUAAUGCACCCAUCUUUUAGUCCUGCUUGAAGAGGAUGUUCUCAUUGUGUGGACAUUCAUGGCCUUUUUAUGAUAGCAUCUCUUUAAGGCCUCCGUGUGGUCGUGAUGGUGCCUUCCAGGGAGCUGGAGACCUGAUCUGUUGUGACUUUGUCCUUUUUACAUAUUUGCCUCAUUGUAAAUCACAGUCCAUCUGAAUUGUGAUGGGCAAGUAAAGUCUUCCAAGAAGAUCUGGACUUUCUAGAUUGUUGGCCUGGAAACAGGUGCAUAAAAAUGUGUGUGGUGUGGAGAGAAUUGUUUGUUCCUUUGAGACAGAUGGGUUUUUGCUGGGAGGAGGAUAUGAGGCUGAAAUUGUUAGAGGUAAAUGUGCCAUGUACCUUGACUGCCAGUUUUAAAGUUGACAACUGGGACAGGUAUUACACCAGAACAGAGUAUCACCACCUCUGACAAGGGUCUUGGUGGGUCUGGUGUACAGGGAAGGCUGUAAACUAGAUUUCAGCUGAAUUGUGCAUCAGGUUGCUGAGCUGAAGGAAGAGGCAGCUCUUGGUCUAAGGAGCACCGUAGCUUGCCAAUGUGACUCUGAUAGGCGCUGGUGGUCCUCCAUCCUCUGCUGGGGUUGUUACUGGUGGUUGGAUCAAAAAUACCAGUUUUGUGCAAAAAAGGAGACCUUACAGUUUGAUAGAGGCCCUGAAGGUGUUGAAACAUUGAGCCUGAGUUUUCUCCCUAAAUUUCACCUUCCGUCAGCAAAAGUGCUGAAGGUGGAAGGGUUUUGGCAGUGUGAAGUUACUGAAGGAGGAAAAACACUCAGCAUGAUUAGCUUAAUGUUCAUUCAAACCAUAGAGAGUUUAGGAUUGGGUCAGUGAGCGUAUUGGCAUGAGCAAGUCUCCCGAAAUCAGUGUGGGUCAUAUCAGCCAAAGGGGAAUUUUCCCAGGUUGGAUCUUAGAUUCUUCAGGGGAGGAAAGUUGAAUGUCAUUGUAGCUGCCUCUGCAGGAAGCCUCUGGCUGACACUGUGGCAACAACACUCAGAAUUAUGUAUUAUUCCCUUCACAGACGAAGCUAGAACAAGAAAAAUGUCUUGUGUCAACCUGGCCUUUGAAAUACAAAUGAGUAAGACCAGCCUCACUUGUAAAUGUCACGGUUUGCUUUGUGUGCUCGCUGUGUCAUGCGGUUGCUUUUCUUUCCUGGUUAAUGCGUUUCCAGGCUUUUGCUUCAAGUGAUGCUUGGACAAAAGGGAAAGGAGAAGAGACUCUCCGUGCUGCGUGUGGAGUCCCACGGGGCUGUUUCCCCACUGCGGAGCUGCGCUGACCCUGGGUCAACUUGAAACACGGGCUCUGUGCUCCUGUGAAAGCCCAGCUGAUGGUGGAAGCACCAGCAGCCUCAUUUUCUUACACUGGCAAAUUUGGGGGAAUGGAGUGCAAAGGCACACUGCGCGGUUCUUUGGCUUGACAGCCUUGGCUUUUUUGUAUGGUCUAAGUCUUUCUUAGGGUCUUCCUGUGUCCAACUGUCAGGUGGUGUGUGCUUACUUGCUGAAACCCAUUCUUCCUGUUGUAAAGAUGAGUUAUCACAAAAUCACAGAGUGUCUGGAGUUGAAAGGGACCUCUGGAGAUCAUCCAGUCCAACCCACCUGCAGGUUCACCCAGAGCAGAUCACACAGGAAUGUGUCCAGGUGGGUUUGAAUGUCUCCAGAGGAGACUCCACAACCUCUCUGGGCAGCCUGUUCCAGGCUCUGGAACCCUCAAGGUGAAGAAGUUUCUCCUCAUAUUCAGAUUGAAACUCCUUUGUUUCAGUCUGCACCCACUGCCCCUCAUCCCAUCAUUCGGCAGCACUGAGAAGAGUCUGGUCCCAUCCUCUUGACAACCACCCUUGAGAUAUUUAUAAACAUAAACAAGAUCCCCAUCCUGUACUGGACCACCAGUGAGGGGCCAUACCCGGCUAUCUGGGCAAACUUGCUGGAAGCCAAAGUGCCGUGCUUGCUGCAUCACAUUUGGGGUCAGCUCUUUCCUGCCUUUUGCAUGAUGCAGUGUUGGGGUUUGCACUAAUACAAUGCAGAUUCCUCAUGGAUUUUUUCCCCUCAAAAUUGAAUCAUGAGGCACAUACAGAACCAAGACUGGAAUAUGAGAUGUUGCUUCUGCAGAGAAGCUGGUUAUGGUAACUAAUUGUGUUGUUUUGGGUUAUGCCACGAUGGGCUGGCUGGUUUUGAUGAUGUUUCUGUUCUGUCUGUGAUUAACCUGAUGGCGACAGUAAAACAAAAUAACAUUAAAAGUGCAUAAAAACCUCAGAAUGAUAUUUUGGAUGCCAGAGGAUGCUCAUCCGCAGAAUGUAAUUGUUUUAAACUAAUUUGAUGAUUAGUUCAAGCCAGCUUUACAGACUCCUGUGUGAGCAAUGGGCAUUUCUGUGGAGUUAAUCAGAAAGAACUGGAGUUUCUUUUACCAUGAGCAAAAAUAGCUCUCGGGGAGGACAAUAUGUAACAGCAACGACUGGAUCUGUCGACUUAGCCAGAAAUACGCAGCCAGUUUUAAAAGAAAAAAAAAAGAACAAUCAUCUGGAAAUAUCUCACAUGCCUCUGAAUCUCUGCUGAAAAUUGCUCUGGAGCUUUACUUGCAGCUGGUGAAUAAAGUUGUUGAGAGGAGCAGUGCGAGUGCAGCAGUGCAGGAGAUGCUCUCAGGGUUCAGGUGGACCGGAGGAACGCUCAUCCUCCUCAUCUCAUCUCCUGUGCCCAUCUGCAAGGGUUGGGUUGCUCAGCAUCCUGAGCUGGGCUUAACCCCACACCUUUUUGCUUCAGUCUGAGAGAAGAAGAAAGAAACCUGUUGGCAAAAAGUAGAGUCCUGGACCAGUUUUUUGGCUGGUGAGUUUUGCCAGACCAGAGCUGUUUUCUGGGGGUGGCAGAGCCUAGAGAGGGCUCAUCCGUCCCAGCUUGGGUGCUGCAAGGUUGCAGUUCAGGUGCAUGUGACCAGUGCUGGAUGGUGGGUAAAUGAAAUGACCCAGAGGUGCUUGGGUGCUCCAGUGAAGGGCUUCCCAGGGUAUCCCAUCAAACCUGCAACAUCUGAGGUCUGGAGAUGAACUGUGCUUUCCCCAAAUCUAUGCCCACCUGGCAGCAGGUGAGGGCUGGGAGCUGGGGUUUGGCAGGAUACUGGGGUGCUGUAUGGUGUGGAGGGGGCAGCUCUCAUAUGUGUCCCCUCUGGCUGGUUAAUAUGCUAGCUUACGCUGAUUUUUUUUUUCCUUCCUUCUGUUUUCAGCAUUUUAGUUAAAAGCAUAAACAGCCUGGCGUUGUGUAACAGGCUGCCGGGGCUGUUGCUCAUCCCCACGAUGCUCAACCGCGGAGGAUACACGCAGGAGAUGAUGCUCCAGCCCUGUUCCUGGGUCCCUCCCCGUGCAUGACUGUGGUUCAAAAACAUGUAGUGGGAUUCUUCCCAGACUGAAACGGGCUUUGCCUUCCCCAGAUGAGCUCAGCCUUUUUUACAACACUCUGCUUACACGAGUUGAUGUCUUUCCAGGAGCCUGGAGUCAGGAUAGAGACCCACAGCCGGAGCAUCCUCUGGAGUUCCGCAGCUGAAGCACUGAGCCUCCUGCCCCCUGGGCAGUGGACAGUUUGCCCAUAAACUGCUGGCAUUUAGUGUGGUAAAACAGGGGGUUUUAAAGAUGUUUAGCAAUGGCAGGGCCUGUUUGCUCAGUUGCAUUGAUAAAAUAAACAGUGUCGUCAUUUGCAGGAAGGUGCCGAAAUAUUCCCUGUAGCCACUUGGAAAUAGCUGGUGCGAUUGGUGAAGAUUUACUGUCCUGUUUCCUUUCCUUGCUUUCUGUUUCCUUUCCAUCUCUGUUGAUAAUUCUGCUAUGUGUUUCUUUAACUUUUUAUUCACUUAAAAACUUCCAAGGCGUGCUGUUAACUUCAUUGAGUUUAAAUGCUUUUGUUUUUGCUUGUUGAAUGGUGCAUGCCGCUUCGAUCGUUGCUGUUGAGAUCUCAGGUUUCCCCGUGUCUUCCUUCAGGCUGCUUUUCAUUUCAAAUAUAUAUUUGUUGAAGAAAAAGGGAGAUUUCCACGAAAAUGCCCAUUGCAUCUCUGACGCUUUGAAACACGACUCCUGUCAAGCAUCUGUCCUGUUUUACCAUAGCAGUUAAAAGCUGAAAAAAGGAGCAGGAAUCCCAGUUUCAGCUAAGGAGCAAUUAAUCCCUGUUUCAACACCCACUGUUCCCCAGUGCUCCAGAUUGUAAACCACCAGCAGCAGCGACGGUCUUGUCUCGUUCCUCCUCCGUGUGAAACUGCUUUCGGGCAGCAGAACCGGGUCCUGUGCUGUUUUCUGCUCCUGUGCCUUUCUCUGGUGCUGGUUUCACGACGAUUACAACCUGUUGCUGGCACCACGGGGUGAGGCAGCAGCAUCAGCAGCAUGGCUUUGAUCCAGAUCAGCUCUGGGCACUCAAUUGCCGCUCUGUGGGAUCGGGUUGAACUAUCCAUGUGAAGGUUACAUUGACUUGCUGUGUCUGGGCUGGCUUCACGCCGGCUGCGGGAGGACAGAUGGUACUGGAUGAUGCCUGACGUGGCUUUACCCGGCACCGUUUGUGAGCAGACCUGGAUGGACCGAGCAUCACCACGUCGUGCCACCUCAUGGAGGUCUUGCUGUGGCAGCAGGGGUUGCAUGAACUGUGCCAGCGUCCUGCUGAACUGCAGCCUCAGGUCUUGUGUCAGCAACAGGUGACAUUAUGAUGCACAAAUUGCACAGUAUUUUUUUUUAGAGUGGCUGAAUGGAUUUCACUGUGUCAUUUACUGAGGUAUUUUCAUCCCAGCUCAGAUUGUUAAUCCGAUGAAUCCUGGCUGCACACUGCCUGGUUCACCCUCGUGGUCAGUUUAUCUGCCUUCCCUGUCUCUAGAACAUCCCCGCUCUGCAGUGAGGCUUCUUCAUACCCUUCCCAUUUAUCCCUGUGUUUUAAUUCUUGCUGUUCUUACACCUUUUGUAGGUUCUGCCAUCCUCAACUCUUAUUAUUUGGAAACUUACUUGCUUUUUUUUUUUUUCCUUACUGAUUGUUUUUCUGCAAUUCUCUUGUUCUGUGGUGUUUCCUUCUGUGUUUGAAGCAUCCCCUGCUUCAGUGAAGCCAAAGUAUAAAGGACCACCAAAACCUGCCUAAGUGAAUGAGAGAUCUGGCAACCUUUUCCACCAGAAAUCUUCCAGUGUCUGCUGUGUUUCGUGGUCCAUGAGACAAAGAUCUUCAGGGAGCAGUAGCUGCGUGUGGGACACAGUGGGGACGUGCUGGGCCACGAGGUCCUGUGUGCUGCAGGUUGGUGUAUCCAGCUUUGCUUUUAGUGCAGUGCUGGUGCUUUCCCACUGGUGACUCGCCCUCCCUCUGCUGCCCAGGACCACCAGUGUCCUGUGGGCAGGAGUCUCUCUUGUUGGGCCCCUGCCGUUUGCCUCCAGCCCCCCUGUCCUUCCCGUUAAUUUUUGCUCCGUGCCUGCACUGCUGCGACACAGAGCUGUGUGCUGGCCCCUGCCCUGACUCAGCCCUGCUCAAACAUCCCUGCUCCCUCACCCGGGCUGAGAAAUUCUGGUUGCUCGUUUGGGGCCAUUUCCGAUGCCUGGUUAAAUCUUUCCAACAAACACCUAACUUCUGACUUGGUUCUUGCAUUCCUACACCCCAACAUGGAGUGUGGUCUUCUUGAACCAUAUAAUCAUAGAACAGUUUGGGUUGGAAGGGACCUUCAAAGCUCAUCCAGUCCAACCCCCUGCCAUGAGCAGGGACAUCUUCACCCAGAUCAGGUUGCUCGGAGCCCCGUCCAGCCUGGCCUGGGAUGUCUCCAGGGAUGGGGCAUCUACCACCUCUCUGGGCAACCUGGGCCAGUGUUUCACCACCCUCAUUGUAAAAAAUUUCUUCCUCAUGUCUAGCCUGAAUCUCCCCUCUUUUAGUUUAAAACCAUUACCCCUUGUCCUAUCAUAGCAGGCUCUGCUAUAAAGUCUGUUCCCAUCUUUCUUAUCAGCCCUUUUUACGUACUGAAAGGCCACAUUAAGGUCUAUCCAGCCUUCUCUUCUCCGGGCUAAUCACUGGUACUAUCUGUGCCAUACGGCUGCAGCCACCCCGUUGUCCCUUUGAGUCUGACCAUGCAUGGGACAUGUGGUCCAACUUGACUGGGAAUGGGAUGCUUGGCACCACUUUGCCAGCUUUACAGGCAAUGGCUGACCUGGAAUAAAGCCUGGUCCUAGAGAGUAGUCUUUGUGUGCAAAUGCACGUUACUGGUGACCUUAAUGAAAUUAUAUAUAUUAAAACCAAUAAAAUGGGAUCAUCUGUUGGAGAAGGUGGCUCACGGAGCUGUGUCGUGGCUGUGCUACUCACGGGCAGCAGCACUGGUGCGGUGGGACGAAGUGUGGCCCGGAGGGCAGCAUGUAAUUCAGACUGACGGAGCGGCGGCAGAGCCACACCUCAAAUCUGUCGGAGCUCUUUCUGGCAAACCACUUCAAAAAGGGCGUUUUGGUGUGGUUUAAUGAGUAGAAGAGAGAGGCCAGCAUGGGGCACGCACAGGUUGCAAGGCAGGAGUUACCGGCUGCAGGGAUCUGCAGGAGUGGUCAGAGCUUCAUGCUCCCGUACCCAGUACCAUGACGUGAAGGGCACCAGGGGCAAGAGCAACUUCCCUGUCUGCUCUCUUGCUUUUCUUUCCCACUAGAGUGUUUUGUGCAAUUUUCAAAGCAUCAUGUGCAUGUUCUUUUUCUCUUCUCUUGAACUAAGUAGUUGUUUUCUCCUUUUUCUUAGCUGUUUUCUUCAUGCAGAGGUAGGAAAUGGCAAAAUAUUUUUUCGGAGAUAAAAUAAAUGUGUUUGUCUUGUCAGGGAAUCUGGCAAUAGUUGGUACCUGAGGAUAAUUUUUGCUGUGUGUUUAAAGCAGCUUCAAGUUCUUAAGAAAAAUCAAAGGCAUUUCCCUUAGGAUGAUCUGCUUGAAGUGUCCUGCCAACCAGGCUGAGAAACCUCAAGCAAAACCAACAGAACCCAGCACCGUUCUCUGCAGCUGCCAAAUUUGCAUCUGAUUUGGGGUUUUAAUUAUAGGCAGUUUCCAAAAAAAAAAUGAAACGAGCCUUUUGUAUAUUAUUAUCUUCUCUUCCUCUUCUUCCUCAUGUGCCUCUCCCUUCUGCUACUCAUUGGCCACAUGAUGGGCUGUUCUGGGAGGUGCUGGGCUGCCACUGUUCCUGCCACCAAAGGGGUCGGUACCACCGACUUCUCCAGCCCUUGUGCUGUUAGAAAGUGAGCUUGUGUCCAUGCUUGGUGGGCUUUCUGCUGGUCAGUGAGACUGCAUCAGCUUCUGGAGAGGUUUGGUGAGCACCAGGGCCAGCCGUGGCUCUGGGGAGACUGGGAAAGGGUACCGUUUUUUGACAACAAUGAGGUGUUAAACUCUCACCACAUCGUGGAGCUGAACAGUGGCUUUCAGCCCAGUCCACCUCACCCUUUGAGGUUGCAUCCACGUGAUUUAUAAGAUGGAAAAGUUUUGUGGUGUUUUCUUUUUCUCUCCAAAAAGGUCAAAUGCUUCAAGCAUCUUGAAAGCGCCGAGGUGUAGAAGGUCAUUGAUUUUUUCCCUUUAAACUAUCUUGAAACUAACCCAAGGUAUAAUUUUAUUUCAACAGAAUGGGAAAGUCUAGUACACCAUCAGCUCCUUUUAUUUCAGUAUAUGGUUGUCUUGUCACCCAUGUACAUCUAGAAAUACUCUUUCUUCUAGUGUUUACUGAGGCAUUCAAGCUGAACAGGAUUGAGCCUGAUGACUGCUUGGAUGGUUCAUCAGACACUUGCAGGUGCCAUCUGUACACAAGGGUGUUGGCGAUGCAGCAAAUGGCUGUUUUCCAACCUCUAAGGGACACAUGUUAUUGGGGGUGCCUUCUGAUGACCACUCAGGAUCUUAAAAGCUUUCUUUGUACAUUCACAUGUAUCUUUGUACUGGCUAAAUUUCAACUCACUUUCCUCCCUGUGAACAAUUUACUUUUUGUGGAAUAAACUGUUCCUCAGAAACCAUA
Molecule: long non-coding RNA, 17713 nt
Organism: Columba livia (rock pigeon)
Lineage: Eukaryota; Metazoa; Chordata; Aves; Columbiformes; Columbidae
Exons: 5
Source: RefSeq, a predicted model, not a curated record